CUUCUUCUCCUCUUCCUCUUCCUUCUCCCUCUUCCUCCCUGUCGGCGUGUCAUCAGAUCUGACCAGUGUGUGUGUGUGUUUGCGUGCGUGUGCGUGCGUGCGUGCGUGUUUGCGUGCGUGUUUGCGUGCGUGUUUGCGUGCGUGUGUGUGUGUGUGUGUGUGUGUGUGUGUGUGUGUGUGUGUGUGUGUUACAGUGAGGUGUCUCUGGAGCUGCCAUUCAAACUGAUGAACCCGAACCCUGAAACAGCCAAAGAGAGUGAAUCAGAGGACUUUGUGUUUGAGGAGUUCAAGCGAGUCUACCUGAAGGGCGUCGUCUACGGGGACGAUGACGAGUCUCCUACUGAGGCCUGAACUACUAGAUGUCCCAUGGACAGGAGGACAGGAGGACAGACAAACACAAAGACAUAUCCGUUUGUUUAAUAUGUUACUUCUUGACUCUUUUAAAGUGAGACAUGGUCUGAUUUACUGGAUAAUAAUUGUACUUUUUAAGACAAGAGUGAAAGUACAAAAUAAAAUUCUAAUAACGUGACUGUAAGUGACUCUUUGAAUGAAAGACUUUCAGGAGGUUCAUUGAUAUGAGAUUGUCAUCACAUUUUAGAAAUAUUUCAUUUUAAAAUGAACAUUUCUGUUUGUCUGAUUGAUGACCAACUAGUUAUUGAUCGAUGCUUCUGACAUCCAGAAUCAGAAGCCGUUUAUUGCCACGUAUGUUACAUUGAAUUUGUUCUGGUGAUUGGUGCAGUUUUAUGAGACAAAUAAAAUGAAAGUAAAAAGUAAAGAUAUUAACAAUAUAAACAGAUAAGUACGUUGAGACAUGUGGUACGUUGGACUACAUUACAUCCCACGUUUAGCUGACGCUUUUAUCCAAAGCGACUUACAAUAAGUGCAUUCAACCAUAAGGUACAAACUCAGAAGAACAAGAAACAAGAAAGUGCAAUUUCAUCAAAUAAGCCAAUUUACAACUUGCUAUAGAUAAGUGGCGUUAUAAGUACAAUUUAAGUGGUACAAUUUGUUAGUCUUUUAGUCGAGGUAGAGUCUGAAGAGGUGAGUCCUUAGUUUGACUACUGUGGACUACUGUGCAAAUGUCCU
Long non-coding RNA from Gasterosteus aculeatus aculeatus (three-spined stickleback), 1086 nucleotides. NCBI's taxonomy places the organism in Eukaryota, Metazoa, Chordata, Actinopteri, Perciformes, Gasterosteidae. The record is from Ensembl.